UGGCUCAGUGGUAAAGCACUUGCCUUCCAUGCAUGAGGCCCUGGGUUUGAUUCCCCAG
RNAcentral lists this transfer RNA (58 nucleotides) under Dipodomys ordii (Ord's kangaroo rat). It matches the Rfam family "tRNA", at positions 8 to 63 of the family's 71-position model. From Rfam's summary of the family: Transfer RNA (tRNA) molecules are approximately 80 nucleotides in length. Their secondary structure includes four short double-helical elements and three loops (D, anti-codon, and T loops). The record is from Rfam by way of RNAcentral. Lineage: Eukaryota; Metazoa; Chordata; Mammalia; Rodentia; Heteromyidae.